Molecule: ribosomal RNA, 460 nt
Filed under: uncultured bacterium
Lineage: Bacteria
Description: partial 16S ribosomal RNA
Rfam family: Bacterial small subunit ribosomal RNA
Source: RNAcentral
CCUACGGGUGGCUGCAGUGAGGAAUAUUGGUCAAUGGCCGGAAGGCUGAACCAGCCAUGCCGCGUGAAGGUCAGUGCCCUAUGGGCGUUAAACUUCUUUUGUGCGGGAGCAAUAAUGGUCACGUGUGGCCAGACGAGAGUACCGUACGAAUAAGCAUCGGCUCAAUCCGUGCCAGCAGCCGCGGUAAUACGGGGGAUGCAAGCGUUAUCCGGAUUUAUUGGGUUUAAAGGGUGCGUAGGGGGUGCGGUAAGUCAGCGGGGAAAUGCCCCCGCUCAACGGGGUGAAGUGCCAUUGAUACUGCCUGGCUGGAAUGCGGAUGCGGUGGGAGGAAUGUGUGGUGUAGCGGUGAAAUGCAUAGAUAUCACACAGAACACCGAUUGCGAAGGCAGCUCACGAAUCCGCGAUUGACGCUGAUGCACGAAAGCGUGGGUAUCAAACAGGAUUAGAUACCCUUGUAGUC